UACGGAGGAUGCAAGCGUUAUCCGGAAUUAUUGGGCGUAAAGCGUCCGUAGGUGGCUUAUCCAGUCUUUUGUCAAAUCGUGCGGCUUAACCGCAUACAGGCAGGAGAAACUGAUGAGCUAGAGUGCGAUAGGGGUGACAGGAAUUCCCAGUGUAGCGGUGAAAUGCGUAGAUAUUGGGAAGAACACCAGCGGCGAAAGCGUGUCACUGGGUCUGCACUGACACUGAGGGACGAAAGCUAGGGGAGCGAAAGGG
RNAcentral lists this ribosomal RNA (253 nucleotides) under uncultured bacterium. Its description in RNAcentral is "partial 16S ribosomal RNA". It matches the Rfam family "Bacterial small subunit ribosomal RNA", at positions 524 to 776 of the family's 1533-position model. The record is from RNAcentral.